RNAcentral lists this ribosomal RNA (482 nucleotides) under uncultured bacterium. RNAcentral's name for it is "partial 16S ribosomal RNA". It matches the Rfam family "Bacterial small subunit ribosomal RNA", at positions 28 to 507 of the family's 1533-position model. The record is from RNAcentral.
GACGAACGCUGGCGGCGUGCUUAACACAUGCAAGUCGAACGAUGAAGAAGAGAAACGCGAACUUCGGUUCAAAUUUCACUUCGGAUUAGUGGCAGACGGGUGAGUAACGCGUGAGCAACCUACCUCUUACAAAGGGAUAGCCUCGGGAAACCGUGAUUAAUACCAUAUGACACAUUCAUAAGGCAUCUUAAGAAUGUUAAAGCUACGGCGGUAAGAGAUGGGCUCGCGUCCCAUUAGCUAGUUGGUGAGGUAACGGCCCACCAAGGCGACGAUGGGUAACCGGCCUGAGAGGGUGAACGGUCACAUUGGAACUGAGACACGGUCCAAACUCCUACGGGAGGCAGCAGUGGGGAAUAUUGCACAAUGGAGGGAACUCUGAUGCAGCGACGCCGCGUGAGCGAUGAAGGAAUUCGUUUCGUAAAGCUCUGUUCCAUGGGAAGAAAAGGACUGUACCAUAGGAGAAAGCCCCGGCUAAAUACGUG